CCUACGGGAGGCAGCAGUGAGGAAUAUUGGUCAAUGGCCGGAAGGCUGAACCAGCCAAGCCGCGUGAAGGACGAAGGUGCCAAGCAUUGUAAACUUCUUUUGUCAAGGGACAAAAUCAGGCUCGAGAGCCUGACCGAGGGUACUUGAAGAAAAAGCAUCGGCUAACUCCGUGCCAGCAGCCGCGGUAAUACGGAGGAUGCGAGCGUUAUCCGGAUUUAUUGGGUUUAAAGGGUGCGUAGGCGGACUGUUAAGUCAGCGGUGAAAGUUUGUGGCUCAACCAUAAAAUUGCCGUUGAAACUGGUUGACUUGAGUAUAUUUGAGGUAGGCGGAAUGCGUGGUGUAGCGGUGAAAUGCAUAGAUAUCACGCAGAACUCCGAUUGUGAAGGCAGCUUACUAAACUAUAACUGACACUGAAGCACGAAAGCGUGGGGAUCAAACAGGAUUAGAUACCCCUGUAGUC
RNAcentral lists this ribosomal RNA (460 nucleotides) under uncultured bacterium. RNAcentral describes it as "partial 16S ribosomal RNA". It matches the Rfam family "Bacterial small subunit ribosomal RNA", at positions 338 to 795 of the family's 1533-position model. The record is from RNAcentral.